RNAcentral lists this ribosomal RNA (425 nucleotides) under uncultured bacterium. RNAcentral describes it as "partial 16S ribosomal RNA". It matches the Rfam family "Bacterial small subunit ribosomal RNA", at positions 354 to 796 of the family's 1533-position model. The record is from RNAcentral.
GUGGGGGAUAUUGCACAAUGGAGGAAACUCUGAUGCAGCGACGCCGCGUGAGUGAAGAAGUAUUUCGGUAUGUAAAGCUCUAUCAGCAGGGAAGAUAAUGACAGUACCUGACUAAGAAGCCCCGGCUAACUACGUGCCAGCAGCCGCGGUAAUACGUAGGGGGCAAGCGUUAUCCGGAUUUACCGGGUGUAAAGGGAGCGUAGACGGAAUGGCAAGUCUGAAGUGAAAUCCUGCGGCUUAACUGCAGAAUUGCUUUGGAAACUGUCAAUCUGGAGUGUUGGAGAGGUAAGCGGAAUUCCUGGUGUAGCGGUGAAAUGCGUAGAUAUCAGGAAGAACACCGGAGGCGAAGGCGGCUUACUGGACAAUAACUGACGUUGAGGCUCGAAAGCGUGGGAAGCAAACAGGAUUAGAUACCCUUGUAGUCC